GAUGAAGAACGUAUCGAAAUGCGAUAAGUAAUGUGAAUUGCAGAAUUCAGUGAAUCAUCGAAUCUUUGAACGCACAUUGCGCCCAUUAGUAUUCUAGUGGGCAUGCCUGUUCGAGCGUCAUUAAGUCCACUUAAGCCUAGCUUAGUGUUGGGAGACUGCUCCAGUGGUGCUACCCUGUAGCUACCCUGCAGCUCCUUAAAGACAGCGGCGGAGUCGUGUUAUCCUCUGAGCUUAGUAAAUCAUUCUAGCUUUCGAGAGUAUCACUUCACCUGCCGUUAAACCACCUAAUUUUUAUGGUUGACCUCGGAUCAGGUAGGAAUACCCGCUGAACUUAAGCAUAUCAAUAAGCGGAGGA
This 355-nucleotide unclassified non-coding RNA is filed under the name soil metagenome. RNAcentral describes it as "partial contains 5.8S ribosomal RNA, internal transcribed spacer 2, and large subunit ribosomal RNA". The stretch from base 1 to 120 matches the Rfam family "5.8S ribosomal RNA", at positions 35 to 154 of the family's 154-position model. The record is from RNAcentral.